This 519-nucleotide ribosomal RNA is filed under the name uncultured Pezizaceae. RNAcentral describes it as "eukaryotic LSU rRNA". The stretch from base 197 to 350 matches the Rfam family "5.8S ribosomal RNA". Lineage: Eukaryota; Fungi; Ascomycota; Pezizomycetes; Pezizales; Pezizaceae. The record is from RNAcentral.
GAAAAACUAUUUUUUUAGUUCUUCACACCCCAUUGUUGACUUACCAUGUUGCUUCCACGCGGACAGGCUCAUUCUGAGUGAGCCCUUUGGCUUGGUGUGGGUAAUUCACACAUUCCGGAGAGUUGCCUGUGGUAAGACCCCAAAACAAAAACUUGAAAAAACCAAAAAGUCUGACAAUUCAUUGCAAAUGAAAUAAAACUUUCAACAACGGAUCUCUAGGCUCUUGCAUCGAUGAAGAACGCAGUGAAAUGCGAUAAGUAAUGUGAAUUGCAGAAUCUCGUGAAUCAUCGAAUCUUUGAACGCACAUUGCGCCCUAUGGUAUUCCGUAGGGCAUGCCUGUCUGAGCGUCAGCUCCCCCCCUCUCAAGCGUCUUGUCUGAAGCUUGGAUUACUUUGGAGAAGUAGUUCCAUAGUGAGCAGCCCUCCAGAAAUUUAUAGGCAGUAUGGUUAUACCUGGACCAGACGUAAUAAUAAUAAAAUCGUCUUUUUAAGAAUGAUUGUACUUGCCUCAACCCACCCA